Molecule: long non-coding RNA, 545 nt
Organism: Perca flavescens (yellow perch)
Lineage: Eukaryota; Metazoa; Chordata; Actinopteri; Perciformes; Percidae
Exons: 4
Source: RefSeq, a predicted model, not a curated record
ACGCCAUAUUGCUAGCUAACCUGCUAGCUGUGGGAGCUAACGUUAGCAUAGUUCAGGACAAAAAGGAAUAACUUACCAAGAAAUACCAAAGCACUCCCCAAUAACACUUCAGCACUUAGCUAACUACUGAGUUAACGUUAUACCAGGUGUAUUUGGAGCUUUUUUUCGUGACUGACACAAGCAGGCUGUGCCUUAUUGGAGUCACUGAACAUUAAUCUGCUGGCCCUUGAUCAUCCUCCACCCUCCGGCCCUCCUGACUCAUCUCCGCUGUGUCUCCCUGUGGCAUCCACGAGUGCAUAGGUGGACUUUGUGCCAUGACGUGAGCGUAAGCCAGUGGAGGAUUGCCUUCUUACAUCCAGGGAUGUGGAGCGAGACCUGGCAACAUGACACAGUCAGAGGGCAUCAGUACAGCCACAUGUGCCUCAACACAGGAAACACUUGGCUGUUUACAGGAAGGGUUUGAUGAAGGAAUGCGGUGCAUGUCUGGAUUUGGUCACUGAUGACGACUUUUCCUGAUUCCUGAGUUUUUAAUAACAUUCCACAGA